RNAcentral lists this unclassified non-coding RNA (352 nucleotides) under uncultured Archaeospora. RNAcentral's name for it is "sequence contains 28S rRNA gene". The record is from RNAcentral. Lineage: Eukaryota; Fungi; Glomeromycota; Glomeromycetes; Archaeosporales; Archaeosporaceae.
AGUAAAACAGUACGUGAAAUUGUUGAAAGGGAAACGAUUGAAGUCAGUCAUGCCGGCGUUGGAUUCAGCUUGCUUCGCGGAGCUUGCGCAUUUCCUCGCAUGGCAGGUCAGCGUCAGUUUUGCGCGGCGUGAAAAGGCUCGGGUAAGGUAGCUCUCUUCGGGGAGUGUUAUAGACCUGGGCAAAUGCGCAGCGCGGGACUGAGGAUUGCAGCGGACACCUCUUCGGAGGCGCGGCGACCGAACCCUGCUCGGCCACCCUCGUUCGAUAGCGUGCUAGCGGACGCGGGAGCGGCGGUGCACCGGAACAGGCAAGCCAGCGGUUCGCUUAGGAUGCUGACGUAAUGGCUUUAAA